ACUCAACAAUGCCUGCUCCUCUCUGACUGCACCGCCCCGCCGCCGACGCCCAGUAGAGCCCCCGGGGCGGUCCCCACCGACGGCGCAGCCCGCCGGGACCGGGAGAAAGCAGCUGCGGACACCGCGCCCGUGCGUCUGCGCGCCUGGCCGCCAGGUGACCCAGCAGCCCGGCCGCCGAGAUGCCCAACCCGCCCAGGCUCCGGGCGCUGUGACUUCGCGCCGCUGUGUGCGCCUCCCCGAGCGCCGGCUGCGCCCCCCAGCCCGGCCCGGGGCCUACCGCCUGCCCGGCCCCCUGCCACUGCCAGGAGGACGGCAUCAUGCUGUCUGCCGACUGCUCUUGAGCUUGGGCUGUCCGCCAUACCGGGGGACCUGGAUCCCCUGACGGCUUACCUGAAGUAGCAGGCCAGAGAGGACUCGAAGAUCCUUAGAAGGAGCCAUAGACGGAACCAUAGGAGGCGCCCAGGAGCUAUGGGCUCCAGAAGGUACCCGCAAGUCCUCUUGCACAUUCCUUGACCUGGUCUCAAUAAAAAUGACAUCACAUCUCUUCCCCCACUCCACGGCUGUGAGAUUUUCUCUUUCUAGCCAAUACCUUUCAUGAAGUAGGUGCUUCCACCUCUCCAUCUUUGUUCUAGGGAAGACCAGAAAGGCAUCUUUAUAGUCAACUGGUAUUCUUUGCCUUGAUACUCAUGUCCAAAAACUAUUACCACUUUUGGGCUCAAUGCCAGGCCUGUUUGAUCAAGGUUGGGAAGACACACUUCAGAUACUCACAAUCCUUCAUAUGUCUCUCUUUUUUCAACAGUUUCCUCCUAAACUGUGGUCUCAGCGAGGCUCAUUGACACUCACCGGGGUUUCGACAUUCUCCCUGGCUAGGGCCUGUUCUGGAAAUAGACCAAGGGGGAGAUGGAGCCCCUGGCCGUGGGACAUCCAAUCUGAUGGUGAUGAGAAGGCUGCUCAGGACCGAGGCUGAGACGGGCGACCAGGACGGGAUUGUAUGGCUGCAGGAGGCUACACAGUCCCAGGAGGCUGCUUCUAAGAGGCCCACGUGGCCUGCAUGGGGAUGCGCCUGGCUGUCCAGCAUGUGGUCAUUUGAAUUGUACAUGUUUCACUGGGAUGCCUACAGAAAAGUAGACAGAAGAUGUGGAAAAAGUUUUUGAAAUGUUGCAAACUUAGCUACUUUUAAAAUAAAAAAAAUAGCUUUAUAAUUAUAAAAGCAAUAUGUAAAUCUUAAAAUAAUUUGCUACAUUCUAGUAAGCAUCUUAUGAUCUCUAUGUGCCCUAUAACAUUAUGUUGUAUAGUUUAAAUAUAUACAAUAAAAUCUAUUUUAAAAAAUAGCAGGCAAUUAAAUCUCAUUUUAAAAAGAGUCAGUUUAACUCCCUUCUAAUUUCUACCCCUCGUUUUCCCUCUGUGUGUGUGUAUGUGUGUAUGUCAUCUUCGUUAAAUGGCUCAAUGCAUUCCGAAUAUUUUUUCCGUUGUCUUCAUGAUAUAUUCAUGGGAAGGGGAGUAUGUGGCUUAUUGCUGUUAGUUUAUCAAUAGAGAAUGCUGGCCAAAUGUCUUUAAGAGUAAUGACGAUCUCAAUAGCGGUAAUGACAGCUACCACUUUCGGAGCUCCUCCUGCCUACCAGGCACCACUGGGGUCCCUCUCUGCAGCCCCUCACGCCAUCCUCCUAGUCACUUUCUGAGGUGUGUGUGGUCAUCCUCCCAUUUGCAGGAGGGCUCUGAAGCACAGGAAGGUUCGAUACUUACCCCAUGGCCGGGAUAAGAUGGGCCAGGGCCAGGCUGUGAACUAAGGCAGAGAAGGGGCUCUCCAGCACCUUUCCUGAGCCCUUGCCUCCUCUGCCUCUGCCCCAUGGCCA
Molecule: long non-coding RNA, 1853 nt
Filed under: Homo sapiens (human)
Lineage: Eukaryota; Metazoa; Chordata; Mammalia; Primates; Hominidae
Description: non-protein coding lnc-CENPP-20:13
Source: RNAcentral